UCGAGGGGUAACNGGAGUAGCUUGCUAUUUGCUGACGACCGGCGCACGGGUGCGUAACGCGUAUAGAAUCUACCUUAUACUGGGGGAUAGCCUUUGGAAACGAAGAUUAAUACCCCAUAGUAUUAUUUUUUGGCAUCAUUAAAUAAUUAAAGUUUCGGCGGUAUAAGAUGACUAUGCGUUCUAUUAGUUAGUUGGUAAGGUAACGGCUUACCAAGACUUCGAUAGAUAGGGGUCCUGAGAGGGAGAUCCCCCACACUGGUACUGAGACACGGACCAGACUNCUACGGGAGGCAGCAGUGAGGAAUAUUGGACAAUGGAGGCAACUCUGAUCCAGCCAUGCCGCGUGUAGGAAGACUGCCCUAUGGGUUGUAAACUACUUUUAUAUGGGAAGAAUAAGAUCUACGUGUAGAUUGAUGACGGUACCAUAAGAAUAAGCACCGGCUAACUCCGUGCCAGCAGCCGCGGUAAUACGGAGGGUGCAAGCGUUAUCCGGAAUCAUUGGGUUUAAAGGGUCCGUAGGCGGGCAUAUAAGUCAGUGGUGAAAGUCUGUGGCUUAACCAUAGAAUUGCCAUUGAUACUGUAUGUCUUGAAUUAUUGUGAAGUGGUUAGAAUAUGUAGUGUAGCGGUGAAAUGCUUAGAGAUUACAUAGAAUACCGAUUGCGAAGGCAGAUCACUAACAAUAUAUUGACGCUGAUGGACGAAAGCGUAGGUAGCGAACAGGAUUAGAUACCCUGGUAGUCUACGCCGUANACGAUGGAUACUAGUUGUUUGGUUUUCGGACUGAGUGACUAAGCGAAAGUGAUAAGUAUCCCACCUGGGGAGUACGUUCGCAAGAAUGAAACUCAAAGGAAUUGACGGGGGCCCGCACAAGCGGUGGAGCAUGUGGUUUAAUUCGAUGAUACGCGAGGAACCUUACCAGGGCUUAAAUGUAGUCUGACAGCUUUAGAGAUAGAGUUUUCUUCGGACAGAUUACAAGGUGCUGCAUGGUUGUCGUCAGCUCGUGCCGUGAGGUGUCAGGUUAAGUCCUAUAACGAGCGCAACCCCUGUGGUUAGUUGCCAGCGAGUAAUGUCGGGAACUCUAGCCAGACNGCCGGUGCAAACCGUGAGGAAGGUGGGGAUGACGUCAAAUCAUCACGGCCCUUACGUCCUGGGCCACACACGUGCUACAAUGGUAGGGACAGAGAGCAGCCACUUAGCGAUAAGGAGCGAAUCUAUAAACCCUAUCUCAGUUCGGAUUGGAGUCUGCAACUCGACUCCAUGAAGCUGGAAUCGCUAGUAAUCGGAUAUCAGCCAUGAUCCGGUGAAUACGUUCCCGGGCCUUGUACACACCGCCCGUCAAGCCAUGGAAGCUGGGGGUACCUGAAGUCCGUCACCGUAAGGAGCG
RNAcentral lists this ribosomal RNA (1384 nucleotides) under Dokdonia genika. Its description in RNAcentral is "bacterial SSU rRNA". It matches the Rfam family "Bacterial small subunit ribosomal RNA". Lineage: Bacteria; Pseudomonadati; Bacteroidota; Flavobacteriia; Flavobacteriales; Flavobacteriaceae. The record is from RNAcentral.